CAAUGCUGCUUAUAUAUACAUAUAUAAUCUAUUUCUAGAUUAUACCUCUCCAGAGCAAGCUGUGAGGUUCUGCAGUGCUCCAAUGGAGGCCUCCUUUGUGUGCUGGUUUGUGCUGACGGCAAUGAGAGAGAGAUACAUGCGGACAGUGAUGGCGCUCCAGAGCCACUCCAAACCGUGAGGGCUGCCGUUCUCUUCGAGUAAGGGAUAGUCUGCAUCUGGUUCCUGAGACUGCUCCUGCAUGCUGAUCAGUGAGCCAGGUUGGGAGGGUCGUCUUCCUGCAACAAACUCCAGGCUUGGCUUCCGUAUUCGGCUCUGCCAGGACACGUUCUCUGAUUGUUCCUGAAGACCAAAACCCCCCCCUCUCGGGCUGCAGAGGGUCUUCUGAAGGGCUUAAUGGGGAGCUGAGUGACAGCCGACGGGCCUGCGAACUUCGGGCUUCGCAAAACCUCGGAGUGGGCAUAAUGUAAAGUUUGUUUGUUCAUAUGGAAACGGUUGACUGUAGGGACAGAGGGGAGACUGAGAGAAGUAGCCCCCCAGCAUAAAGCCAGCUGUUUAGUGUUGUAACGAAAGCUUCCAUAGCCUCUGUGAGAUCGAGGUGGCUCGGUACUUGACCACUGAGAUCGAUCAACCAUCCGUGACAACCUUGUGGCUUCAUGAAUGACGGUGAACGUCCGCUGCAAAGUGUAGACUUCCUAAAGAUGUACUACUGGAAAUAUGACAGCUGGAUAGACUGUCUGAAAGAGAUGACUCUGCAACGCCCAAAACACACACAGUUGGACUGCAUACAAUACAACACAAUGGAAAACAUACUCUUCAUGAUCACUUGCAGAUCCUACUAAAUAGGUCUGAAUGAGUUCUGACAAACUAAGGAAGGAUUCACUUUUC
Long non-coding RNA from Carassius auratus (goldfish), 885 nucleotides. RefSeq lists it as uncharacterized. The transcript is spliced from 4 exons. Lineage: Eukaryota; Metazoa; Chordata; Actinopteri; Cypriniformes; Cyprinidae. The record is from RefSeq and is a predicted model, not a curated record.